UGCCAGCCGCCGCGGUAAUACGAAGGGGGCUAGCGUUGUUCGGAAUUACUGGGCGUAUAGCGCACGUAGGCGGACUUUUAAGUCAGAUGUGAAAUCCCGGGGCUCAACCUCGGAACUGCAUUUGAAACUGGAAGUCUGGAGUUCAGGAGAGGUUAGUGGAAUACCGAGUGUAGAGGUGAAAUUCGUAGAUAUUGGGAAGAACACCAGUGGCGAAGGCGGCUAACUGGCUCGGUACUGACGCUGAGAUGCGAAAGCGUGGGGAGCAAACAGGAUUAGAUA
RNAcentral lists this ribosomal RNA (279 nucleotides) under uncultured bacterium. RNAcentral describes it as "partial 16S ribosomal RNA". It matches the Rfam family "Bacterial small subunit ribosomal RNA", at positions 506 to 784 of the family's 1533-position model. The record is from RNAcentral.